RNAcentral lists this ribosomal RNA (1320 nucleotides) under Lactiplantibacillus plantarum. Its description in RNAcentral is "Lactobacillus plantarum 16S ribosomal RNA". It matches the Rfam family "Bacterial small subunit ribosomal RNA", at positions 32 to 1301 of the family's 1533-position model. Lineage: Bacteria; Bacillati; Bacillota; Bacilli; Lactobacillales; Lactobacillaceae. The record is from RNAcentral.
GCCAGUGGCGGCAUGCCUAUAACAUGCAGUCGAACGAACUCUGGUAUUGAUUGGUGCUUGCAUCAUGAUUUACAUUUGAGUGAGUGGCGAACUGGUGAGUAACACGUGGGAAACCUGCCCAGAAGCGGGGGAUAACACCUGGAAACAGAUGCUAAUACCGCAUAACAACUUGGACCGCAUGGUCCGAGCUUGAAAGAUGGCUUCGGCUAUCACUUUUGGAUGGUCCCGCGGCGUAUUAGCUAGAUGGUGGGGUAACGGCUCACCAUGGCAAUGAUACGUAGCCGACCUGAGAGGGUAAUCGGCCACAUUGGGACUGAGACACGGCCCAAACUCCUACGGGAGGCAGCAGUAGGGAAUCUUCCACAAUGGACGAAAGUCUGAUGGAGCAACGCCGCGUGAGUGAAGAAGGGUUUCGGCUCGUAAAACUCUGUUGUUAAAGAAGAACAUAUCUGAGAGUAACUGUUCAGGUAUUGACGGUAUUUAACCAGAAAGCCACGGCUAACUACGUGCCAGCAGCCGCGGUAAUACGUAGGUGGCAAGCGUUGUCCGGAUUUAUUGGGCGUAAAGCGAGCGCAGGCGGUUUUUUAAGUCUGAUGUGAAAGCCUUCGGCUCAACCGAAGAAGUGCAUCGGAAACUGGGAAACUUGAGUGCAGAAGAGGACAGUGGAACUCCAUGUGUAGCGGUGAAAUGCGUAGAUAUAUGGAAGAACACCAGUGGCGAAGGCGGCUGUCUGGUCUGUAACUGACGCUGAGGCUCGAAAGUAUGGGUAGCAAACAGGAUUAGAUACCCUGGUAGUCCAUACCGUAAACGAUGAAUGCUAGUGUUUGGAAGGGUUUCCGCCCUUCAGUGCUGCAGCUAACGCAUUAAGCAUUCCGCCUGGGGGAGUACGGCCGCAAGGCUGAAACUCAAAGGAAUUGACGGGGGCCCGCACAAGCGGUGGAGCAUGUGGUUUAAUUCGAAGCUACGCGAAGAACCUUACCAGGUCUUGACAUACUAUGCAAAUCUAAGAGAUUAGACGUUCCCUUCGGGGACAUGGAUACAAGUGGGGGCAUGGUUGUCGUCAGCUCCUGUCCUGAGAAGUUUUGGUUAAUUCCCCCCACCAACGGCACCCCUUAUUAUCAUUUGCCACCAUUAAAUUUGGGCACCCCGUUGGAACUGCCCGUGGCAAACCCAGGAAAGGGGGGGGGGGGGGGGGAAAAAUAUAAAUAGCCCCUCUUAAACCUGGGGGGCACCCCGCCCUCCAAUGGGAGGGGGGACCCAAAUUUGGGAACCCCCCGGAGGGAGACAAAUUCUUUAUACCCUUUUCUCUCUUCCGUAUGG